Molecule: long non-coding RNA, 4682 nt
Organism: Rosa chinensis
Lineage: Eukaryota; Viridiplantae; Streptophyta; Magnoliopsida; Rosales; Rosaceae
Exons: 5
Source: RefSeq, a predicted model, not a curated record
AUAGAAUCCUAGAUUGAGAAGCAAGCAAUGUGGGAAACUAAAUCCUUGGGUUACAACAGUCUUUCAUCGAUGCUCAAGUCAAAAGAGUUGUUGGCUUUGUAUUUGACAAGUUGUAGUGUAUUCUGCUAUACACACACGUAUGUGAGUGUGUGUCUAUAUAUAUAUAUAUAUAUAUAUAUAUGCGCAUUCACAUGGAGAUAUAACGGUUAGUGAUGACAGAAGAAGGUUAAUUAUGCCUUACACACUAUCAGACUAUUUGUCUAGCUAUGUCAUACAUGUGUGUACAGUAUAAGUUUUCUCUUUCUUUUUACAUUAUUUUGGAGUGUGGUUUCUACUCACAUAGUUAGAAACAAUUUUGGGUUUCUUUUUCUUAUAUUAUUGUCUAGCUAGAAGAUAUGAAAAAUAAUGGAAACUUUGAAACUGAUGCUACCCAUCACACGGGCUUGGACAGGAACUUUAAGAACUGUUGCAUAUGUCGGAGUCCAAAGGCCUCUUAGAAAUACCAAUGAUAUACAGUCUGGCCCACGUUGAUCUCUAAAGGAAGAAUUGAAAGUGUACUGCAAGUACGUACUAUCUCUUCAAGCUGUACUACAAUAUAGCAUAAUCAUGUACUGAAUAAGCUCGUUUUAUCUAUAAAACACUGAGAUUAAAAACAACCAGAAGAUCCUGCUAACAGUUUUCUUUGCUUUGAGUGCACUUAAUAUCGCAUUCUUGGAUGACUUGAUGCAAGCAAAUGAUGAGCACCGCCAGGAGGUGCAUAUACACAUGUCAUGGAGUGUGUUUACCCGUGAGUUUUGGUGAGUUAGUUGGGUACGAAAUCUUCACUUCUAGCUAGGUUUUGAAAUUCGCACCCCAUGCACGUUAUCAAGGGAUCGGAAUAAGAACACCUCUCAAUUCUCAAAUUUACUACUACUUUCGCAGCCGUAAGUGGGACAUCGUUCAAUGCAACUCAUGUACGUCUAAGCAGCUCAUGAUUUCUUUUUAACAAAAAUGUGGAACCCGUUAUCUACUUUUUGAACUUGGUAUAUAAAUGAAGAGAAGCGAAGUCGUUUGACGACUCAUUGUGCUGUUCUCCCUAUGACCAAGUGCUAUCUCUUUACUUCUGAAUAGGUAAAAACCAUAAUUCUAUUUUAUUUCUUAAUUGAUAAGACUGGCAAAUUGGCUCGCUCGAUGCUAGCUGCGGGUUUUUUUUUUUUUUUUUUCAAAUUUUAUAUGUAAUAGAUGAAUACUCGUAAUCUAAAAAAUAUCGGCUCUACUUAGAAUAUAAUUUGUUUUGUUGUUAAUAAUAGAUUAACAACAAAUGGGAUACAACACAAAAUAAAUUUUUUACAUGAUUUGUAGAAAUUUACAAAUACAAAACAUAAUUGUUCUCAUUUAAAAAAAAAAAAAAAAUAUAGCAGAAUUGUAAUUUGAAUUAGAAGCCGAGGGCAUAAUCGUCAUUUAAUAAUCCCGAGUGAACAGUUGUGAAUAGUGAUAGUGAUCCGAGGGCAUCAACAACAACGUGCAAUUUGUUAGGUGAGUCACGUGGUAGAUGAAGAUGGAUCGAUGGUGAGUCAUAGCAAUUAGCAAACAAAACGUCAAUGAUCAUUAACACGUGGUAGAGAUAAGCAUUCAAUGACUCUGAAAAGAUUCCAAGUCAAUUCUGAAUUCCAAAACCCCUAUACAUAUGCGCAUGUUUUUUUUAAGGUAUACAUGCGCAUACAGACAUAGACGGCACGGAAAUGAUAUCAGCGUAGUAAAGAUAUAGAAGUAAAAUAACGAGAAGGAAUAUAUAGUCCUGAACUUUAAUUACAUAGUAUUUACCUGUCCAAGAGAAAUAAUGGCCCAAUUGAAUGUAAUGCCAGCCACCCCUUUGAAUGAAUGGCUUUGAGUUCUCCAGGACCCUCUCUCGUGAGCAAUUUGCUCAACUCCUGAUGUUGAUUUGGGCCAUUUGGAAGAACCGCAAUUCCAAACUAUGGGAGAGUGCUUGUCAACAUCUUUCUGAAGUAGUGUUGUUAACCAUGCGUUGGUUUAAGGAAUUUACAAAAGCUAAUAAUAGUGCUUUGACUCAAAAGAGGGGGGUUGAAAGAUGGUCUGAUUGGUCUCCACUUGAGCUUAGCUGGGUUAAAUACAACGGUGAUGCGGCUUUUAUUCUCCGGAUACUAGAAGAGGAGCUUGUGGUGUUGUGGCUCGCACUUGUGCUGGUUCCUUUAUAGUCGGAGCUGCUGGGCCUUUGAUUCAAGUUAUGUCCCCUUUCCAUGCUGAGAUUCAACCCUUGGCUGAAGCUGUAAAGUUAGCUACUUUACAACAUCUUCUCGAAACUGACUGUUUGCUACUUGUUCAAGUUUUAAGGCAAUCCCAAUGUGAUCUUUCCUCUAUGGGUGUUCUGGUAGAGGUAGACCUCUAAAUGGACCGGGUUUUGAUCAGGAUUCUCUUCGGAUCCGUGGUUAUUGUUGUUAAGUGAUGUAUCCUGAAGUCCUGGAGUCCUCGUUUGCUUGUGGACAUGUGUCAGUGCACCAGUUAGCUAGUUAGCUGUAUUGAUUAGCCAGUUAGCUAGUUAGCUGUAUUGAUUAGUUUGAUUAGUUGCUAAUUAGUUAGCCAUGGUUAAUUAGCAUGAUUAGUUAGCUAGUCGGUUAGGCCAAUCAUGUUGUAUAAAUAGCUGAGCUCUCUCUUCAUUUUGUACGUUUUGUUCAUUUGAGAAAAGUAACAGAAACAGUUAGCAACAUUUUCUCUCAAGUAUCCUCUUCUCUUUCAUCUUCUUCCUCUCUACGAAACCCUAGCUCUGCUUGUCUGCCAUGGCUAUCAUGCAAUUGGAGCUCUGAUCGUCUUCAAGGCUUGGAUCCAGUUCAGUAGCUUGUGAAUCACUAAUUUUUUAGCAUCUCAAGUGUUCGAUUGAAUUUCCAGGUGAACCGUACUCGUUCUUGCCUCUCAAAAUGUCAGAUCUGUGUACGUUGUGCUAUAUUUGUGAGUCACACAGUAUGAACUUGCUGGUUUACUGAAGCAAACAUCAUUUCUUGAGCAAAAUUAUAUUGAUUGAGUUGUGCGUUGUGAUUAGAGUGAAAUAACGUGAAGAUUUGAGUAAACAAUAGCUUGAGAAAAAAAAAAAUUGAGUAAAAUUAGCUUGUGAUUUGUGAUCUUUAUGAGUAUAAACAAAUUUUGAGCAUCAUUGUGAUGAAAAUUGAGAGAAAAUCGAGCUUCAUACAAGCAUAAAGUACUUGUCUGAAGAAAUCUUUAUACUGUGUGGUGAAGAACAUUGUGCUAACUGUUGUCCAUAUUUUGCUUUGAAAGAAGUGAGUUUCUUGAGAAUAUAUUCAUGGUUAUGGCAUCUCAAAGAGCCUCUGGACUUACUCAUGCUGAUGUAUACUCAUUGUUGAGUGUCAUUACCAUUCGACUUGGUGAAAGAAACUUUAUCAAGUGGAGCUUUCAGUUUCAGUCAACUCUAGCUGGAAAUGGACUCUUUGGUUAUUAUGAUGGUACAUAAAUAACUCCUCCACGCUAUGUGCUUACUACUGAAAGGGAAGUUACUGGUGAAGAAACAGCUGCUUAUAAGGCUUGGAAACAAACUGACAUGGCUCUCAGGAGUUUGCUUAUGGCUACUUUGGAUGAGGAUAUUGUAGAUGCGAUCAUUGGUUGCAAAACAUCAAGACAGGCUUGGCUUGCUCUCCAAAAGCGUUUUUCUGCUGCUUCAAGAGUGAGCAUCAUGCAACUUAAGACUGAAUUACAGACUAUGAGGAAAGGUGGUGAUUCCAUUGAAAGAUACCUGCAGAAAGCUAAGAAUGCUCGUGACCAACUUCUAUUGUUAGAGUAAGUGUUCCGGAAGAGGAUAUCAUCAUUGUGAUCUUAAAUGGUCUUCCAGAGGAAUACAUGAUUGUAAGAACAGUUAUUGAGAGCAGAGAAACUCAAAUCACACUUCGUGAUUUAAGAUCUCAGUUACUUGCUGCAGAAAGACUCAUUGAAGGCAGUUUCUCGCUUCACUCCACCAUGAAUGCUCUAAUAGCUUGUGGAGAAGAAUCAAAACCCACAGGACAAGAAAGUAGUUCCUGGAACAAUAGAAAUGUUGGAAACAUAAAGAAUGGAAGAAAUAGUGUGACUGGGGUUGAGUGUAAAGUGUGUGGGAAAAAAGGGCUGAUGCGGCUGAAAUAGUCUCACAAUUUAACCCUGCAAAAUAUAGUUGUCAGUACAGGAUAAGCAGGGAUCGUUCAGUCCGGGAAUUGUAGGGUACACCUACACAAAAAGGUUUUGACAUGAAGUGGGGCUAAGGAACGUGUUCGAGACCCAAUUUCUGAAACAAACCUAGAAUUAGCUUGGACACCAUUUGGGAGCUUUUGAUCCUCAUUCAUUUGAAUCAGAAUCCUCUCAUUAGAAGCAGUGACAAUAUCAUGAGUUCCUAUCCCCUUUGUAACGCCACGUGUCUUUUUCCCCUUAGAGGACAUGUCAUGAUCAGCACCUAGAGGUAUUGUUAAGAAAAUAAAGUUUAGUCAGAAGAUCAUACAAUGAAUAGACCUAUAUUCCAAUUCAUAUAUCUAAAAUAUGAAUCAUGGCUCAUAGACAAGCUAUGUAGAUUUAUUUAUAUUAAAUGUGUUGUUAGUGUUAUCACAAUCCAAGUAACUUACUUUCACUAGAAUGUAAUGGUGGUUGUGGUUGUUGCUGCUGUGAUGGCUCAGGUUGUUGCAACUGUGGUGGUUGUGGCUGCCUCUUUCCUA